This 424-nucleotide ribosomal RNA is filed under the name uncultured prokaryote. RNAcentral's name for it is "bacterial SSU rRNA". It matches the Rfam family "Bacterial small subunit ribosomal RNA", at positions 355 to 796 of the family's 1533-position model. The record is from RNAcentral.
UGGGGAAUCUUGUACAAUGGGGGCAACCCUGAUCCAGCCAUGCCGCGUGAGUGAAGAAGGCCCUAGGGUCGUAAAGCUCUUUCGCCGGUGAAGAUAAUGACGGUAGCAGGUAACGAAACCCCGGCUAUCUCCGUGCCAGCAGCCGCGGUAAUACGGAGGGGGUUAGCGUUGUUCGGAAUUACUGGGCGUAAAGCGCGCGUAGGCGGACUGGAAAGUUGGGGGUGAAAUCCCAGGGCUCAACCCUGGAACUGCCUUCAAAACUAUCAGUCUUGAGGUCGAGAGAGGUGAGUGGAAUUCCGAGUGUAGAGGUGAAAUUCGUAGAUAUUCGGAGGAACACCAGUGGCGAAGGCGGCUCACUGGCUCGAUACUGACGCUGAGGUACGAAAGCGUGGGGAGCAAACAGGAUUAGAUACCCCCGUAGUCC